UGGUGUGUAGAUGCCCUGAUGUUGAAGC
RNAcentral lists this non-coding RNA (28 nucleotides) under Homo sapiens (human). The record is from RNAcentral. Lineage: Eukaryota; Metazoa; Chordata; Mammalia; Primates; Hominidae.